UAACCUCCUAUGCCACUGCUGCUCCUCUAAGAUCAAGUGCAGUAUCUGUUCUUAUCAGUUUAAUAUCUGAUACGUCCUCUAUUUGAGGACUAUAUAUUAAAUGGAUUGGGGGGGGGGGAAUAAAAAAACUAUGGCUACCAAUCUUGAUCGUCUUUGAUCUGGGACUGCAAAUGCCUUAGCAGACCAGGUGCU
Sphaerodactylus townsendi is the source of this 192-nucleotide small nuclear RNA. RefSeq annotates it as U2 spliceosomal RNA. NCBI's taxonomy places the organism in Eukaryota, Metazoa, Chordata, Lepidosauria, Squamata, Sphaerodactylidae. The transcript has a single exon. The record is from RefSeq and is a predicted model, not a curated record.